RNAcentral lists this ribosomal RNA (253 nucleotides) under uncultured bacterium. Its description in RNAcentral is "partial 16S ribosomal RNA". It matches the Rfam family "Bacterial small subunit ribosomal RNA", at positions 524 to 776 of the family's 1533-position model. The record is from RNAcentral.
UACGUAGGCAGCAAGCGUUGUUCGGAGUUACUGGGCGUAAAGGGUGCGUAGGCGGCCCUGUAAGUCUGGUGUGAAAUCUCCCGGCUUAACUGGGAGGGUGCGCUAUAGACUGCGGGGCUCGAGUGUGGGAGAGGAGAGUGGAAUUCCUGGUGUAGCGGUGAAAUGCGUAGAUAUCAGGAGGAACACCGGUGGUGUAAACGGCUUUCUGGACCAUAACUGACGCUGAGGCACGAAAGCGUGGGUAGCAAACAGG